UACAAUCGCCCCACCAAAGGUGCUCUGUAAAGAGAUAAUCGGGAAGUCUGGUGUGUAUUUGAAUCCAGCGCUGCCCCCGCAUCGGUAAUUAAGCUAGAUUCGCCAUAACCACUGUGCCACGGCAUGGGAAGGGGUGAACCGAGGAGAGAUCCGCUUAUGAGCCCGAAGACCGGCCAUUGGUUUCAUUCACAG
RNAcentral lists this non-coding RNA (192 nucleotides) under gamma proteobacterium BDW918. RNAcentral also lists the same sequence under 1 other name. Lineage: Bacteria; Pseudomonadati; Pseudomonadota; Gammaproteobacteria; Cellvibrionales; Spongiibacteraceae. The record is from RNAcentral.